GGAGCCACCCCCGUGGGGGAGGAAUGUCUGCGGANUUGUACACCCCUUUUCUCAGGGAAGAAGAUCUGACGGUACCUGAGGAAUCAGCAUCGGCUAACUCCGUGCCAGCAGCCGCGGUAAGACGGAGGAUGCAAGCGUUAUCCGGAAUUAUUGGGCGUAAAGCGUCCGUAGGCGGUUUAUCAAGUCUGUUGUCAAAGACUGCAGCUUAACUGUGGGAAGGCAAUGGAAACUGAUUAACUUGAGUACGGUAGGGGUAGAGGGAAUUCCCAGUGUAGCGGUGAAAUGCGUAGAUAUUGGGAAGAACACCAGUGGCGAAGGCGCUCUACUGGGCCGUAACUGACGCUGAGGGACGAAAGCUAGGGGAGCGAAAGGGAUUAGAUACCCACUGUAGUCAAGUC
Molecule: ribosomal RNA, 398 nt
Filed under: uncultured cyanobacterium
Lineage: Bacteria; Bacillati; Cyanobacteriota
Description: bacterial SSU rRNA
Rfam family: Bacterial small subunit ribosomal RNA
Source: RNAcentral